UUCCCCUUAAAAUUACAAAUUACAAACAGAAAGCUGACAUGAAAUUUUCUUUUAAAAUUUGAUUUUCAACGUAACUAAAUUAAAAUUCAGGUCAUUGUUAUUCAUUAAAAAUUAUCAUUUUAGUCCCCCAAACUUUUCUUCUAAUUUAAAUGAGGUAUAUAACCCUAAAAAUUUAUAUAACAAAUUAUCAUUUUAGUCCAAAACCGAAAGAACCCAUCUCAUGGUUGUUCAUCGUUGGGGUCGAUUUCACUCACCUUCAAUUCUUACUUCGCUACCAAAUCCAUCAAUUCCUUCACUUCGCUGCAAACAUCCAUUGAAUUCAAUGGAAAAACAUUGAGGGCAGUAAGGGACGGUCCUAAUAAGCUCUCGGAAUUGAGUGGCCACCAUCUCCGACUUCAUUAAAAUACAUAGCCUUGCGAGCAAUCCUCCAAGAAGAAGCUGAUUUUCUGGGAAGAAAGACGAAGCUCGAAAAAGAGAAGCACGACCGACUCGAGAAAAACUGAAAAGCGUAGAUUAUAAGCAAUCCUCACCCUACACACACCAACAACCAUCAAACCACAAACUGAAAAGAGCAAAUUGAAAAUAAAAAAGAGUCUAUAGUAGAGGAAGAAUGAAAAAUGAUUAAGCAAAAGAUAGAGAGCAAGAAGCAAAGCAAAAAUAAAAGAAAAAUAAAAAACAGAAAAAAAAUAAAGAGGAGAACUAUCUUUUAGGGCUUCUCGAUUAUUUGGGCAUCGGAGCUCUACUCAACAAUCCAAAUAGUGAAGGUAGAGGAGGUACCAAGGAAAAUAUAUCUCGGGCUUGUGGUGAUCCAACAGUGGAUGUCGACAGAUCGGGGUUUUCAACUUCGAACCUUUGCUUGGGGUUUUGUAAGCUUUGGCCGCUUUUUGAGAAAAUAUAAACUAAAGAAUGGAUAAAUGUUGUGGAGACCUAUUGUUUGGUGGUGGUUUUGUGUCCGUCGAAGCACCGAUGGUGGAACUCUUCGACCGACGAUGGUUAGGGUUAAAAG
Molecule: long non-coding RNA, 1006 nt
Filed under: Gossypium barbadense (sea-island cotton)
Lineage: Eukaryota; Viridiplantae; Streptophyta; Magnoliopsida; Malvales; Malvaceae
Description: long non-coding RNA (GBAR_LNC017308)
Source: RNAcentral